Anas platyrhynchos (mallard) is the source of this 356-nucleotide long non-coding RNA. RefSeq lists it as uncharacterized. The record is from RefSeq and is a predicted model, not a curated record. Lineage: Eukaryota; Metazoa; Chordata; Aves; Anseriformes; Anatidae.
GCCCUUUGGUUGGUUGUGGGGAAGUUGUGUUUAGGUGAAGUCUCUUGCUGGCGCUGUGGAGGAGACUCUUAUGCAUGAGGAAACACCUCAAAUACAGCUUUCUAGAUUGAGUUCUGAAAGAUAUUGGGAGAACAUCUUGGGAAGACAAGAGGCAGACCAGGAUUAAUUUCAACAGUUCAGCUUCUACAUUGGUGCCACAGCUACUGAAUUUGAAUUAGCUCCUGGACCUGCUGGAAUCCAACUUGAUUCCUUUUGCUAUCAGAAGAUAUCAACUGAACGGCAUCUUUCUUCCGAUGUAUGUAAGAGGCCUUCAAAGGUACUGCAGGGGUUAGAGGGCUGCUUGAUGUGGUGCUCUU